Long non-coding RNA from Prunus persica (peach), 1559 nucleotides. RefSeq lists it as uncharacterized. The record is from RefSeq and is a predicted model, not a curated record. Lineage: Eukaryota; Viridiplantae; Streptophyta; Magnoliopsida; Rosales; Rosaceae. The transcript has 7 exons.
CUGUAAUUGAGGCACUAGUUGCUUGAAAAAUUUGCGCCAGGUGGAGUCUACACAGACAAUGAUACGCAUUGUAGGCCUUUCAGCCACUCUACCGAACUAUUUAGAGGUUGCUACAGUUUCUGAGAGUGAAUCCAGAAGCAGGACUCUUCUUCUUUAUUUCUAGUUAUCGCUCUGUGCGCCUCGCACAGCAAUAUAUUGGUAUUAGUGAGCAGAAUUUUACAGCCCAUAUUGAAUUGCAGAAUGAGAUAUGCUACAAGAAGUUUGUUGAAUCACUCAGGAAAGGUUAUCAGGCAAUGGUAUUCGUUCCUUGAAAGACAAUUUAAAGGAUAUGUUAAGAUGAUUCACUUUUCCUUAUUGUUCUUGAAAUUUUCUCUAUGCAGUUUAUAAGUUCCUUGAAAGACAAUUUAAAUGCAGAGGUUGCACGUGGUACUGUCACCAAUGUCAAGGAAGCUUGUGAAUGGCUUGGAUAUACGUAUCUUUUCAUAAGAAUGAGGCUGAAUCCUUUGGUGUAUGGUAUUGGGUGGGAUGAGGUUGUUGCUGAUCCUUCCUUGAGUUUAAAGCAAAGAGUUCUCAUAGCAGAUGCUGCACGUGCCCUGGACAAAGCAAAAAUGAUGCGCUUUGAUGAGAAAAGUGGCAACUUUUUGUACAGAGCUUGGUCGAAUUGCAAGCCACUUUUAUAUUCAAUACUCAAAUGUUGAAACAUAGAAUGAAAUGUUGAGACGCCACAUGAAUGAGACUGAGGUAAUAGACAUGGUAGCCCACUCUUCAGAAAUUGAAAAUAUUGUUGUUCGAGAUGAGGAACAGAAUGAGCUAGAGACGUUGGUGCGAUCAUCGUGCCCAUUAGAAGUUAAGGGGACUCCUAAAAAACAUGGAAAGAUAUCCAUUCUCAUUCAGUUGUACAGAUCUUGUGGCUCAAUUGAUACCAUUUCGUUGGAUUCUGAUGCAGCAUGCAUAAGUGCAAGCUUGGCACUCAUUAUGCUUUCACAUUUUAUCAAAUUUAUAGACUGAAUUAAUUGUGUGUUUUCAUACCAUACAACUCUGCUGUGACUUGUUUCUGAUUGUCAUCAAAUAGUAUGCUCUGUAGUUAAGUAUAAAAUUUUGAUUUUGCACUUGAGGUUCCUUAUUGUGCGGUGCGGGUGAAACAUUUGGUGUAUGAUCUUUGUGUUCCAUUACAUGUUUUGAAUGCUGCCUUAUACACUGAAGUGUACUGUUUCUGAAUUGUUGACUUGACUGUAGGUCAUUUACAUAGCUCCUUUGAAGGCUAUUGUUAGGCCACCGCUGGUCCCAUCACAUUGAUCAAUGGGCGUCGCAGGCCCCUCCUUCGCUGGUCCUUAUUCUGUCUCGGGAUGCCCUCCCACCCCAAAAAAAUGUUUAGGAUUUGGAUUAUCUUGCAUUGGAUCUAUCUGGUGGCUUCAUUAUCUUUCAUCAAUCAAACAAACAAGCUAGCAACUUUUAGUGGCAGUUGUUACCGCUGCAAAAGCAAAAUUCCUUCGGGAAAGACUGUUAAAUAUCGUCGCAGAAGGUGUAAAAAACCGUCAGAAAAUAAUAAAAACCAUCAU